Molecule: long non-coding RNA, 927 nt
Organism: Zophobas morio
Lineage: Eukaryota; Metazoa; Arthropoda; Insecta; Coleoptera; Tenebrionidae
Exons: 2
Source: RefSeq, a predicted model, not a curated record
AACAAGAAAUGUCAUGUUAUUUACGGAAUCAUACGGGAUGUUGGGUUAUGGGGUUAAAAACAAACGUAAAAUUUAUUUUAACAAAGUAAUAGAUACUUACGACACAGUCUUACGAUACAUGUAAAAAAUACUAGAAAAUUCCAGGCUAAAGAGGUCAACAAACUGCAGGUUAAACGAAAUGUGUGUAAAAAAUUCUAACUCUAAUAAAAACUGAGACGAGGUAAUCAAGAGAAAAGUCUUUGCAGGGGUGGUGGAAUGGUAUUUUUGUAUGGUUGGUUUUUUAGCCGCAAACCAGUUAACGACUACGGUGCAUAAAUUGGGAAAAACUCACAAAAUGUAUUACCCAUUACCGGAGUAUAAACUGCAAAAUGUUUAGGUGGCAUUAUUAAAUCGCCAAAAAUCACAUCUUCAUUGAAGACUUUAAAAUGUCACACAAUUAAAACAGGAUGUACCGCUUCGUAAGGAUGUGCAAAGUUCACACAAACUUCGAAGAAGUGGUGGUGUAAGAAUUUUCGUAGUGAUGAGUAUCCACAAACAUACCAUAAACAGUUGUGUUCUUUCAAGGUGAGUUUCUGGUAACUCACAUCACUUAAUGAUUAUUGAAGAGGCCAGGAUACAGGGAAGAUGUGUUGUAGAAGUUUGUUUAAAAGAACACCUUAGCAAAUUUUUCAUUUUAAAUAAAAUAGUGUUUUACAGUUGGUUCUUGCACUUGUAUCGAAAUAAUCUGUAGUAAAUAGUUUCCGAAACGCUCUUUGGAAUUGUAUUGGUGUGGGAUUUAUACAAUUCCCAAAUUGACGCCUCACAGAGCCAAACAAAUAUGUCAAACAAUACUAAUUUAGUUGCAGCAACCUUUUAGUGAAAAUUGUAAACAAAUUGUAUUCUGUGAAAACUAUUAAAAAUAAUAAGCAAAAUGUUUAUGUUCCUGAA